RNAcentral lists this ribosomal RNA (467 nucleotides) under uncultured bacterium. RNAcentral describes it as "partial 16S ribosomal RNA". It matches the Rfam family "Bacterial small subunit ribosomal RNA", at positions 28 to 507 of the family's 1533-position model. The record is from RNAcentral.
GAUGAACGCUGACAGAAUGCUUAACACAUGCAAGUCAACUUGAAUUUGGGUUUUUAACUUAGGUUUGGGUGGCGGACGGGUGAGUAACGCGUAAAGAACUUGCCUCACAGCUAGGGACAACAUUUGGAAACGAAUGCUAAUACCUAAUAUUAUGAUAAUUGGGCAUCCUAUAAUUAUGAAAGCUAUAAGCGCUGUGAGAGAGCUUUGCGUCCCAUUAGCUAGUUGGAGAGGUAACGGCUCACCAAGGCGAUGAUGGGUAGCCGGCCUGAGAGGGUGAUCGGCCACAAGGGGACUGGGACACGGCCCUUACUCCUACGGGAGGCAGCAGUGGGGAAUAUUGGACAAUGGACCGAGAGUCUGAUCCAGCAAUUCUGUGUGCACGAUGAAGUUUUUCGGAAUGUAAAGAGCUUUCAGUUGGGAAGAAACAAAUGACGGUACCAACAGAAGAAGUGACGGCUAAAUACGUG